GACGAACGCUGGCGGCGUGCCUAACACAUGCAAGUCGAACGGUGAAGCGCCUUCCUUUUUGGUGGGUGUGGAGGAGCGGCGAACGGGGUAGCAACACGUUAGUAACCUGCUCCCUCCUUGUGGAUAACGGCAUGAAAGUGCGGCUAAUACGGGAUAUAUUGGACCUGUUGCAUGAUGGGUCUGGGAAAGAUUUUGUUUCGGUGGUGGAUGGGCUCGCGGCGUAUUAGCUUGUUGGUGGGGUAACGGCGUACCAAGGCGGCGAUGCGUAGCCGGCCUGAGAGGGGGAUCGGCGAUAAUGGAAGUGAGAAGAGGCGGAGAAGCCUCCGGGAGGCAGCAGCAGUGAAGAAUAUUGAACGAUCGGAGGCAGGAUGGUGCAACGCCGCGGGGUGGAGGAUGGAGGCCGGCGCGUAGAGAUCCUCUUUCGGGAGUGAAGCAGGGCUGACUCGUUUGUGGAUGGGUUGACGGUAGCUAAAUAAGAAGCGCCGGCUAACUACGUG
Molecule: ribosomal RNA, 497 nt
Filed under: uncultured bacterium
Lineage: Bacteria
Description: partial 16S ribosomal RNA
Rfam family: Bacterial small subunit ribosomal RNA
Source: RNAcentral